GAAUAUCACAUUGCAUGUAGUCUCUUGACGUUUAAUGUAGAAAAUAGUGCAUAUGCAGAGAAGAGCAGUUUGGGGCGUUAGUUCACACAUCCACGUGUGCGCGCACACAGCUCUCAGGUGUGUCUGCAUACCUUCCCGCACGGCCUGGGCUGAGCACUCCUUCCAGGCUCCUGCUCCUCCCUCAAACUGCAGCUUCAAGCCGAAGAGAGAGGCGUCGUGUCCAUCAAAGGAGUGUGUGCGAACCGCUAUCUCGCUAUGAAGGAGGACGGCCGGUUACUGGCUUCUAAAUAUGUUACGGAUGAGUGUUUCUUUUUUGAACGGUUGGAAUCCAAUAACUACAACACUUACCGGUCACGGAAAUACUCCAGUUGGAGCUGAUCUUGAGGCACCGUCUGAUCUCGUUUCAUAUGAAGGAAGAGGCCUAUUUUAGAAAUUCGUUAACGAGAAAAAAGAAAACGUGUACAGCUGUCUGCUCAGGUUGGGCAGCGGGUCAGAUAACCUCCUCUCUAAUGUGAAUUCAAAUGAAACGAGUCAGUUCCUGUGAGAAGGCACGAGUCAGAAGAGGAGGCCACACACCUGUAGACUGCUUUCUGCCCCGGCGCAGGUGAGGCCAUGCACAGAAGCUUCCCGAGCUAACGGGCUCCCACACGCCCCGUGAGGAUGGUGGAAGAUGACUGGGUGUUCAAGAAUAAACCGCUUUCCCUUCCACCACCACAAAUCCUCUCGUUUCAACAGAAGACCCAGCAGAACGGGGGUCAGGAUCUACAAACCAGAAUUUGCUAUGGAUUUAUCUGAAUGUAGUACAUUUACUUACUGGUUGUUAGGAGUUGGCUGCAUACUGUGUACAGGGCAUUUAUGUAUACAUGUUUUAAAUAAAAUAUCUCAAGAUAACUUAGGAAAUUGUUCACAUAAAUGUUGUUAAAGAGAACAGGGACAUGCACAGUGAAGAAAAAGUGUGCAGAAAUAACUGAUAUCAAUUGAGUUAUCUAUUGAUUUACUGAGAGAGGGGCUGUAUUUGACCAAUGGUGUAAGGAGUAGGUAGGAAUAUUCAGUUUCUGUUCUAUUUCCUAUAAAAUCAGUGACAUUGAGAAUCUUAGCUUGUUUCAGAUUCCCUGUCUUCAGUGUGGAGCUCAGUGGAUUGUUCUGAGCUCUCUCUCUCAUGCGAGACUGUCUCCUAUGAGCUCUUACACUAUUUUGGCUUCUGACUAUUCAAAAUGAAUAGUAGAUAAAAUUUUCAAAAAGAGGUUUGCAUCACCACUGCUCUAUAACUGACUCUAUAAAUAGUACUUGUUUCAAAGUUGACUUAAAAGUUACUAUUCAUCCUUGCGUGAUGAAACGGUCAGGAAUUGGUGUUUUGUCAUAGUUAAUUCCAAUGGUUUUAGUCAUAUCCAAAACAGCCCUCGGUGCUCGGCUGACUGAUGCACACCCAAAGCUCCCCACUCGCAAACAGAUCCCUCGAGACUGAGCAGCCCCACGAGGAGGCCAGGUGGGCGUGUGCGCCCUACGGCAUUUUAUCCCAAUGGAAGAGGGUCCAAUGUUCCUUACAAGUUUGCUGCUAAUUUUAUAUCAGCCCUGAAGUAACCUCUCUGAAACCUUCUGACUUAGUCUGAACCAGUAAGACAAUUUUAAAUCUUAUUCUUAAUCAAAGAGCAAACAAAAGUCAACGCAUGCAUGUCCUCAGCAUUUUCAGGCCAACUGAAAACACGUAAGAUACGCACCGAUGUCUUCUCCAGGCUCCGACAGGCCUCCUGGGAACUUCCACAUGUUUUUCAGCUGCAGGGAAAGUCAGAAAUAGUCAACACAGCUUCUGUUCACUAACACGCACCGGGAGAGCCACGCU
Molossus molossus (Pallas's mastiff bat) is the source of this 1840-nucleotide RNA transcript. It is a transcript of the gene named fibroblast growth factor 2, with no coding region annotated. Lineage: Eukaryota; Metazoa; Chordata; Mammalia; Chiroptera; Molossidae. The transcript has 5 exons. The record is from RefSeq and is a predicted model, not a curated record.